RNAcentral lists this long non-coding RNA (712 nucleotides) under Nicotiana benthamiana. Its description in RNAcentral is "long non-coding RNA (NBEN_LNC008302)". The record is from RNAcentral. Lineage: Eukaryota; Viridiplantae; Streptophyta; Magnoliopsida; Solanales; Solanaceae.
UGUGCAGCAGCAGAUCCUUGACCAUCUUGGCUAUGAACAAGGCCAACUGCCUUUCAAGUAACUGGGAGUACCACUGAGUACCAAGAAAAUUACUCUACUACAGUGGAAACCAAUAGUGGAAAAAAUCACAGCUAGGAUCACUUCUUGGACUGCCAGAACCAUGUACUAUUCUGGAAGACUUCAAUUGGUGCAAUAUGUCAUCUUUGGUUUCAAGCUUACUGGGCUCAGCUGUUUAUCUUUCCAGUGAAAGUUCUUAAAAUGAUUGAAAGUAUCUGCAGGAUCUUCAUUUGGUCUGGGAUGAAUACUGUCACCAAGAAAGCAUACAUCUCCUGGGAUAAAAUGUGCACCCCAAAGUCAGUAGGGGGAAUGAACCUAACCAACCUCAAACUGUGGAACAAGGCUUCCAUUGCAAAGACCUGCUGGGACAUAGCACAUAAGAAGGAUAAGAUGUGGAUCAGGUGGAUCACAGUGUAUUACAUUAAAGACGGGACAUUAGAAUCUAUGCCAAUCCCUGCCCAAGCCAACUGGAUGGUUAAGAAGAUCAUCCAAUCCAGGGAUACCCUACAAAGGAUGCAAAACUGGAGACAUCAGAAAUGCACUACAAAACAGUUGUACCAGUUGCAGUUGCAGGAAGUGCCAAUAGUCCCAUGAAAGAACCUAAUUUUACAGAACCAAGCCAGGCCAAAAGCAGUGUUCAACCUGUGGCUAGUCC